RNAcentral lists this ribosomal RNA (767 nucleotides) under Salmonella enterica. Its description in RNAcentral is "partial 23S ribosomal RNA". It matches the Rfam family "Bacterial large subunit ribosomal RNA", at positions 210 to 1014 of the family's 2925-position model. Lineage: Bacteria; Pseudomonadati; Pseudomonadota; Gammaproteobacteria; Enterobacterales; Enterobacteriaceae. The record is from RNAcentral.
CCCGAGGAAAAGAAAUCAACCGAGAUUCCCCCAGUAGCGGCGAGCGAACGGGGAGGAGCCCAGAGCCUGAAUCAGCAUGUGUGUUAGUGGAAGCGUCUGGAAAGGCGCGCGAUACAGGGUGACAGCCCCGUACACAAAAGCGCAUGUGCUGUGAGCUCGAUGAGUAGGGCGGGACACGUGGUAUCCUGUCUGAAUAUGGGGGGACCAUCCUCCAAGGCUAAAUACUCCUGACUGACCGAUAGUGAACCAGUACCGUGAGGGAAAGGCGAAAAGAACCCCGGCGAGGGGAGUGAAAAAGAACCUGAAACCGUGUACGUACAAGCAGUGGGAGCACAGGUUUACCUGUGUGACUGCGUACCUUUUGUAUAAUGGGUCAGCGACUUAUAUUCUGUAGCAAGGUUAACCGUAUAGGGGAGCCGGAGGGAAACCGAGUCUUAACCGGGCGUUAAGUUGCAGGGUAUAGACCCGAAACCCGGUGAUCUAGCCAUGGGCAGGUUGAAGGUUGGGUAACACUAACUGGAGGACCGAACCGACUAAUGUUGAAAAAUUAGCGGAUGACCUGUGGCUGGGGGUGAAAGGCCAAUCAAACCGGGAGAUAGCUGGUUCUCCCCGAAAGCUAUUUAGGUAGCGCCUCGUGAAUUCAUCUCCGGGGGUAGAGCACUGUUUCGGCUAGGGGGCCAUCCCGGCUUACCAACCCGAUGCAAACUGCGAAUACCGGAGAAUGUUAUCACGGGAGACACACGGCGGGUGCUAACGUCCGUCGUGAA